Molecule: ribosomal RNA, 498 nt
Filed under: uncultured bacterium
Lineage: Bacteria
Description: partial 16S ribosomal RNA
Rfam family: Bacterial small subunit ribosomal RNA
Source: RNAcentral
AUUGAACGCUGGCGGCAUGCCUUACACAUGCAAGUCGAACGGUAACAGGUCUUCGGAUGCUGACGAGUGGCGAACGGGGGAGUAAUACAUCGGAACGUGCCUAGUAGUGGGGGAUAACUACUCGAAAGAGUGGCUAAUACCGCAUGAGAUCUACGGAUGAAAGCAGGGGAUCGCAAGACCUUGUGCUACUAGAGCGGCCGAUGGCAGAUUAGGUAGUUGGUGGGAUAAAAGCUUACCAAGCCGACGAUCUGUAGCUGGUCUGAGAGGACGAUCAGCAAAACUGGGACUGAGAAACGGCCCAGACUCCUACGGGAGGCAGCAGUGGGGAAUUUUGGACAAUGGGCGAAAGCCUGAUCCAGCAAUGCCGCGUGCAGGAUGAAGGCCUUCGGGUUGUAAACUGCUUUUGUACGGAACGAAAAGCCCCGGGUUAAUACCCUGGGGUCAUGACGGUACCGUAAGAAUAAGCACCGGCUAACUACGUGCCAGCCGCCGCCGUAA